UUCGGUGAAAUUUAGAACCAC
This 21-nucleotide microRNA is filed under the name Nematostella vectensis (starlet sea anemone). RNAcentral's name for it is "nve-miR-9433". Lineage: Eukaryota; Metazoa; Cnidaria; Anthozoa; Actiniaria; Edwardsiidae. The record is from miRBase by way of RNAcentral.